This 808-nucleotide ribosomal RNA is filed under the name uncultured archaeon. Its description in RNAcentral is "bacterial SSU rRNA". It matches the Rfam family "Archaeal small subunit ribosomal RNA", at positions 85 to 876 of the family's 1478-position model. The record is from RNAcentral.
ACUGCUCAGUAACACGUGGCCAACCUGCCCUUGGGACGGGAACACCCCCGGGAAACUGGGGUUAAUUCCCGAUAGGUGAAGAAGUCUGGAAUGAAUCUUCGCUCAAAAGACGUUUAUGUCAUGCUCAUAUUCGUCGCCCAGGGAUGGGGCCGCGACCGAUCAGGUAGUUGGUGAGGCAAUGGCUCACCAAGCCUUUUACCGGUGCGGGCCGUGAGAGCGGGAGCCCGGAGAUGGGCACUGAGACAAGGGCCCAGGCCCCACGGGGCGCAGCAGUCGCGAAAACUUUGCAAUACACGAAAGUGUGACAGGGCUAUCCCGAGUGCCAUCCGCUGAGGAAGGCUUUUACCCAGUAUAAAUAGCUGGGAGAAUAAGGAGAGGGCAAGUCUGGUGUCAGCCGCCGCGGUAAUACCAGCUCUCCGAGUAGUGUGGACGUUUAUUGGGCCUAAAGCAUCCGUAGCUUGCUAGAUAAGUCCUCUGUUAAAUCCACCGAUUCAAUCGUUGGAUUGCGGGGGAUACUGUUUGGCUAGGGGACGGGAGAGGUCGACGGUAUUUCCGGGGUAGGGGUGAAAUCCUAUAAUCCCGGGAAGACCACCAGUGGCGAAGGCUGUCGACUAGAACGCGCCCGACGGUGAGGGAUGAAAGCUGGGGGAGCGAACCGGAUUAGAUACCCGGGUAGUCCCAGCUGUAAACGAUGCAGGCUAGGUGUUUGGGCGGCCACGAGCCGCCCUAGUGCCGCAGGGAAGCUGUUAAGCCUGCCGCCUGGGGAGUACGGCCGCAAGGCUGAAACUUAAAGGAAUUGGCGGGGGAG